Molecule: ribosomal RNA, 248 nt
Filed under: uncultured Streptococcus sp.
Lineage: Bacteria; Bacillati; Bacillota; Bacilli; Lactobacillales; Streptococcaceae
Description: partial 16S ribosomal RNA
Rfam family: Bacterial small subunit ribosomal RNA
Source: RNAcentral
UCUAGCGAGACUGCCGGUAAUAAACCGGGAGGAAGUGGGGAUGACGUCAAAUCAUCAUGCCCCUUAUGACCUGGGCUACACACGUGCUACAAUGGUUGGUACAACGAGUUGCGAGUCGGUGACGGCGAGCUAAAUCUCUUAAAGCCAAUCUCAGUUCGGAUUGUAGGCUGCAACUCGCCUACAUGAAGUCGGAAUCGCUAGUAAUCGCGGAUCAGCACGCCGCGGUGAAUUACCGGUUCCCGGGCCUU